This 263-nucleotide long non-coding RNA is filed under the name Lathyrus oleraceus (garden pea). RNAcentral's name for it is "Pisum sativum (pea) long non-coding RNA (PSAT_LNC036502)". Lineage: Eukaryota; Viridiplantae; Streptophyta; Magnoliopsida; Fabales; Fabaceae. The record is from RNAcentral.
CGGUUUGGGGUUCCAUAAAGGUUCAUCAACUGCAAGGUUUGAAGAUAUGCAACUUAGCUUCCGUAGCGGAGGGCUCAUUCAUGGAAAUGAACAACACUUAGCUACUGUGCUAGAGGAUGACGAAGAGGAAGACUCCACCAAUUUUGUGACGCAUGGAAAGGCUUGCAACAAUUGGACUGAUGUUGAUAUUCCUGUUAUUUUGCACUGAUCUAAGAAAUUUCUUCUAUAUGUUUUUAAAAAUCCUUCUCCUAUGCCUAAGGGAG